Molecule: ribosomal RNA, 444 nt
Filed under: Phoberus rhyparoides
Lineage: Eukaryota; Metazoa; Arthropoda; Insecta; Coleoptera; Trogidae
Description: partial 16S ribosomal RNA
Rfam family: Archaeal large subunit ribosomal RNA (bases 1-158)
Source: RNAcentral
AACAAAAACAUGUCUUUUUGAUUAUAAUUUAAAGUCUAGCCUGCCCAAUGAUUAUAAAAUUUAAUGGCCGCGGUAUUUUGACCGUGCUAAGGUAGCAUAAUAAUUAGUUUUUUAAUUGAGAACUGGAAUGAAUGGUUGGACAAGGAAAAUACUGUCUCAAGUUUAAUUUAAUUAGAAUUUUAUUUUUAAGUAAAAAAGCUUAAAUAUUUUUAAAAGACGAGAAGACCCUAUAGAGUUUUAUAUUAUAAAUUAUAGUUAAUUUAAGGAAUUAUUAUUUUUAUAUAAUUUAUAGUAUUUUAUUGGGGUGAUAGAAAAAUUAAAAUAACUUUUUUUAAAUUAUUCCAUUAAUUUAUGAAUAAGUGAUCCAUUAUUAAUGAUUAUAAGAUUAAAUUACCUUAGGGAUAACAGCGUAAUUUUUUUUAAGAGUUCAUAUCGAAAGAAAAG